CCCCUAGGCUACGUGUGCCUGGUCGCGGCGUCUUUUCCCCGCUGGCGACGAGAGCAAAGGACUGCUAGUAAUUUUUACCGUGGGGUCCGUACAUUCCAUAAAUGCCGAAGCAUCCGCAAAGGAAUUCGACACGCACGGCACGCAUGACCGCUACAUGACACGUUCAUCCGAUGCCAUAAAGAAAUUAUUUCCUCACUGUGCCUGCGGUGAUCCCGUGUAUCGUAAGGGUACAACAUUCCCCGUGAAAAUGAAGAACCUUUGCAACGAAUGGCGCCUCAUAAUUGCUGUGUUCGUUAUCCGUGGAGGAGUGCUGGUUUUCGCCGAAGAUUGCAACGUGACGCAAGUUCUUGAGUGCUAUGGCGACAUCUCCGACAACGUUUCUGAUGUGCCUGACCAACGCACACUGAACAAGAGCCGCCUCGAAAACCUCUGCAAGGAAAGUGACGCUGCGGAACGCUGCGAAGAGGACCUAGCUAGUUGCAUCGACUCUGAUCCAUCUCUAAAAGCCAUACAGACGCAAUAUACUACAAUCCGUCGAGACGCCUGCGGGAACAGUACCUUCAAUAUGU
RNAcentral lists this long non-coding RNA (569 nucleotides) under Dermacentor andersoni. Its description in RNAcentral is "uncharacterized LOC126540563". The record is from RNAcentral. Lineage: Eukaryota; Metazoa; Arthropoda; Arachnida; Ixodida; Ixodidae.